GGGAGCUUGAUGGGAAUCUUCAUCGGUGACCGUCGCUGUCACCGUCGCCAAAGAACUGCAUCCAGCGGGCAAAAGCACUCGGGAACUAGGGCAGCUGCAACCAACAUGCAGGGAUUUGUUGUCCUCCCAAUCCAGUAUCUUUUCUGGAGGUGUUAUUGUCCCUUCAAGAACUCCAAUUAUCUUCCGCAUUUGUGGGCGAUACUUUGAAUGUCUAUUUGUGCAAGCUAUAGCACAAAAUAUCAUCCGUUUUAUUUGCUCUUCGUCAUAGCUUUUCUCUAGUUUGAAAUCAAUAAGAGCCACAAUUAUCUGUUUGAUUUUCUGUUCGUCAUAACUCUGCCGUAUGGAGUCAAUCAGAGCUGUAUAUUCUCCAUUAUCCAAAG
RNAcentral lists this unclassified non-coding RNA (380 nucleotides) under Hevea brasiliensis (rubber tree). The record is from RNAcentral. Lineage: Eukaryota; Viridiplantae; Streptophyta; Magnoliopsida; Malpighiales; Euphorbiaceae.